Small nucleolar RNA from Tachyglossus aculeatus (Australian echidna), 138 nucleotides. The record is from RefSeq and is a predicted model, not a curated record. NCBI's taxonomy places the organism in Eukaryota, Metazoa, Chordata, Mammalia, Monotremata, Tachyglossidae.
CCCCUCUCAGGAUUGCACCUGGAAAGUUUCCAAUACUCUACCAGUCUCGACAAUGGGAGGGAAAGUCAAGCUGAGGCAUACCCAUUCCAUUCCUACCUCGAGCAGUGGCUAGUAAGUGGAAGACAAUCUGCUAUAAGU